This 482-nucleotide ribosomal RNA is filed under the name uncultured bacterium. RNAcentral's name for it is "partial 16S ribosomal RNA". It matches the Rfam family "Bacterial small subunit ribosomal RNA", at positions 30 to 507 of the family's 1533-position model. The record is from RNAcentral.
AUUGAACGCUGGCGGCAUGCUUUACACAUGCAAGUCGAACGGUAACAGGCCGCUAGGUGCUGACGAGUGGCGAACGGGUGAGUAAUGCAUCGGAACGUGCCCAGCCGUGGGGGAUAACUACUCGACAGAGUAGCUAAUACCGCAUACGAUCUAUGGAUGAAAGCGGGGGACCGUAAGGCCUCGCGCGAUUUUAGCGGCCGCUGUCAGAUUAGGUAGUUGGUGGGGUAAAGGCUCACCAAGCCAACGAUCUGUAGCUGGUCUGAGAGGACAACCAGCCACACUGGGACUGAGACACGGCCCAGACUCCUACGGGAGGCAGCAGUGGGGAAUUUUGGACAAUGGGCGCAAGCCUGAUCCAGCAAUGCCGCGUGCAGGAAGAAGGCCUUCGGGUUGUAAAGUGCUUUUGUACGGAACGAAACGGCUCUGGUUAAUACCCGGGGCUAAUGACGGUACCGUAAGAAUAAGCACCGGCUAACUACGUG